GCGGCUUCUGGCUCAGAGUGACGUUACCUUUUACCGAUACACACGACGCGCGACAAUGCCAUCAGACGGAGAGGGCAAGGUGCGGCAGGUCAACAUUGAUGAGAUCGACGCAGUGACAGGCUUCAAGAAAGCCGAACUGUAUGUUUGGAACGCGUACGCUGCCGCGUUCCUCGCCGAGGGCGGUGAGCCGGAGACAGAUGUCGAAGCGUGGAUCGAUGAUUUCUGCCAGAGGUCGGAGGAAAGUGGAGCUGUCUUUGAUCGCAACUUCGUGAAGUCUGUGUGCACGUUAGGAAUAUACGCAGGUCCACGUGAUGAGUUCCAGCAGAGGUCUGGCUGUGGCAAAGCGACGUAUGCGUCGGGUGACACGUAUGAAGGAGAGUUUUUCGAGGGAAAAAAGCACGGGAGGGGUCAGUACAUUUUUGUGAGCAAAGGGCGCAGCGAGGCCGACCGGGUCGUUUCGAAGGAAGUGGAGCUGCUGACAGGUGCGGGCAAGGAUGCCAAGGCGAUGGUAGCAGAAAUUGCUACUAAACUCCAGCUUGGCCGUCACGUCGUAGAGGGCAUCAUGCAGUAUGGACAACGUCCGUGUUACCAUGGUGACUACGUGCGCGGAAAGCGAACUGGCCGCGGAGUCAUGAAAAACAAGGACGGCACCCUCUACCAAGGGGAGUUUCUGGAAAAUAAACGACACGGGCAGGGCGUUUACUACUACCUCAACGGCGACGUGUACUCGGGUAACUGGAAAGCUGGCGCCAAGGAUGGCUAUGGAACUUACCACUUUGCGGAUGGGAGCGAGUACCGUGGGGAGUGGGUCCGCGGUAACUUUGUGCAAGGGCAGUGGAUUCUGCAAGGAGGGUCCUAUUAUGAAGGAAAGUUCGACAAGAAAAACAGACCGCUCGACGAUGCUGCAUCCCUGCACUAUCCCAGCAUCCAAAUGGCGCAGACAGGUGCCUUUAAACGAGGCGUCUGGGCCCCGACGAGCGCGCUGCAGGUUUGCUCCGAAGUUCCCGUGGACGGUAUGGCGUGGACUGAUUGAGAGAACGGUGUUGCUGCUGCCGCACAGGCAAUAAUGUAGAUAGGGUUCUUUUGCACUUGCUUGAUGUUUAUUUCUUUCUCUGGCUGUGUGUGUGGUUGCGUGCUUUUUUUUUCUGUUCUGCGUUCAGCGAUCUCAUUGCGAUGUACGCAUGCACUUGAUGACACAGAAAAAAAAAGACGAUUGGUAAAAGUGGACGAUACUUUAGUGGUAGGACUUGCGUUGAGGCGCCGUGUUCGACAAAGCAAUGCUAUGCCGCGGUGCAUGUGAAGGCAACGGGAAAAGUUGUAGCACUGUUUCCUCUGACAGAUCCCAGCAAGUGCGGCGCGCAACUGAGUGAGUGCAAACUCUUUUCAAGGCACUACUCAACCUUUCACGAUGGUUCUCUUCUUUGGAUUCCGCUGACUCUCUCUCUCGUCUUGGUGCAUGUGAAACUUUGCAUGGCAUGUUGGUGAUUUGCUACCUCGUGCAUGGCAACAG
RNAcentral lists this unclassified non-coding RNA (1510 nucleotides) under Leishmania donovani. Its description in RNAcentral is "gene:LdHU3.03.1060(CDS-product:MORN_repeat_putati ve)". The record is from RNAcentral. Lineage: Eukaryota; Euglenozoa; Kinetoplastea; Trypanosomatida; Trypanosomatidae.